AGAGUUUGAUCAUGGCUCAGAUUGAACGCUGGCGGCAGGCCUAACACAUGCAAGUCGAGCGCGAAAGGUUUUCGGACUGAGUAGAGCGGCGGACGGGUGAGUAACGCGUAGGAAUCUACCUGGUAGUGGGGGACAAUUCGGGGAAACUCGAGCUAAUACCGCAUACGCCCUAAGGGGGAAAGCGGGGGAUCUUCGGACCUCGUGCUAUUGGAUGAGCCUGCGUAGGAUUAGCUUGUUGGUGAGGUAAUGGCUCACCAAGGCGACGAUCCUUAGCUGGUCUGAGAGGAUGAUCAGCCACACCGGGACUGAGACACGGCCCGGACUCCUACGGGAGGCAGCAGUGGGGAAUAUUGCGCAAUGGGCGAAAGCCUGACGCAGCCAUGCCGCGUGUGUGAAGAAGGCCUUCGGGUUGUAAAGCACUUUCACUAGGGAAGAAAGGUUGCUAGCUAAUACCCAGUAGCUGUGACAUUACCUUGAGAAGAAGCACCGGCUAACUCCGUGCCAGCAGCCGCGGUAAUACGGAGGGUGCGAGCGUUAAUCGGAAUUACUGGGCGUAAAGCGCGCGUAGGCGGUUAGUUAAGUCGGAUGUGAAAUCCCCGGGCUCAACCUGGGAAUUGCGUCCGAUACUGGCUGACUAGAGUACGGGAGAGGGAGGUAGAAUUCCACGUGUAGCGGUGAAAUGCGUAGAUAUGUGGAGGAAUACCGGUGGCGAAGGCGGCCUCCUGGCUCGAUACUGACGCUGAGGUGCGAAAGCGUGGGGAGCAAACAGGAUUGGAUACCCUGGUAGUCCACGCUGUAAACGAUGUCGACUAGCCGUUGGGAGACUUGAUUUCUUGGUGGCGCAGUUAACGCGAUAAGUCGACCGCCUGGGGAGUACGGCCGCAAGGUUAAAACUCAAAUGAAUUGACGGGGGCCCGCACAAGCGGUGGAGCAUGUGGUUUAAUUCGGUGCAACGCGAAGAACCUUACCAGGUCUUGACAUCCUCGGAACUUUCCAGAGAUGGAUUGGUGCCUUCGGGAGCCGAGAGACAGGUGCUGCAUGGCUGUCGUCAGCUCGGGUCGUGAGAUGUUGGGUUAAGUCCCGUAACGAGCGCAACCCUUGUCCUUAGUUGCCAGCACUUCGGGUGGGAACUCUAGGGAGACUGCCGGUGACAAACCGGAGGAAGGUGGGGACGACGUCAAGUCAUCAUGGCCCUUACGACCUGGGCUACACACGUGCUACAAUGGAACGUACAGAGGGCAGCGAAGCCGCGAGGUGGAGCGAAUCCCACAAAACGUUUCGUAGUCCGGAUCGCAGUCUGCAACUCGACUGCGUGAAGUCGGAAUAGCUAGUAAUCGCGAAUCAGAAUGUCGCGGUGAAUACGUUCCCGGGCCUUGUACACACCGC
This 1386-nucleotide ribosomal RNA is filed under the name metagenome. Its description in RNAcentral is "bacterial SSU rRNA". It matches the Rfam family "Bacterial small subunit ribosomal RNA". The record is from RNAcentral.